Molecule: ribosomal RNA, 425 nt
Filed under: uncultured bacterium
Lineage: Bacteria
Description: partial 16S ribosomal RNA
Rfam family: Bacterial small subunit ribosomal RNA
Source: RNAcentral
GUGGGGAAUAUUGGGCAAUGGGCGAAAGCCUGACCCAGCAACGCCGCGUGAAGGAAGAAGGUCUUCGGAUCGUAAACUUCUAUCCUUGGUGAAGAUAAUGACGGUAGCCGAGAAGGAAGCCCCGGCUAACUACGUGCCAGCAGCCGCGGUAAUACGUAGGGGGCAAGCGUUGUCCGGAAUGAUUGGGCGUAAAGGGCGCGUAGGCGGCCUGGUAAGUCUGGAGUGAAAGUCCUGCUUUUAAGGUGGGAAUUGCUUUGGAUACUGUCGGGCUGGAGUGCAGGAGAGGUAAGUGGAAUUCCCGGUGUAGCGGUGAAAUGCGUAGAGAUCGGGAGGAACACCAGUGGCGAAGGCGACUUACUGGACGAUAACUGACGCUGAGGCGCGAAAGCGUGGGGAGCAAACAGGAUUAGAUACCCCGGUAGUCC